Molecule: ribosomal RNA, 615 nt
Filed under: uncultured bacterium
Lineage: Bacteria
Description: bacterial SSU rRNA
Rfam family: Bacterial small subunit ribosomal RNA (bases 1-521)
Source: RNAcentral
CCUACGGGAGGCAGCAGUGGGGAAUAUUGGGCAAUGGAGGAAACUCUGACCCAGCGACGCCGCGUGCGGGAUGAAGGCCUUCGGGUUGUAAACCGCUUUCAGUAGGGAAGAAGCGAAAGUGACGGUACCUACAGAAGAAGCACCGGCUAACUAUGUGCCAGCAGCCGCGGUAAUACAUAGGGUGCAAGCGUUGUCCGGAAUUAUUGGGCGUAAAGAGCUCGUAGGUGGUUCGUCACGUCGGAUGUGAAAAUCUGGGGCUCAACCCCAGACCUGCAUUCGAUACGGGCGAUCUAGAGUGUGGUAGGGGAGACUGGAAUUCCUGGUGUAGCGGUGGAAUGCGCAGAUAUCAGGAGGAACACCAAUGGCGAAGGCAGGUCUCUGGGCCAUUACUGACACUGAGGAGCGAAAGCGUGGGGAGCGAACAGGAUUAGAUACCCUGGUAGUCCACGCCGUAAACGGUGGGCACUAGUUGUGGGAACCUUCCACGGUUUCUGCGACGCNGCUACGCAUAGUAGCCCGCCGUCGGGAGGUACGAGUCGCGAAGAAGUUAAACGUAACGUAAAGGUAAGUUAGUUACGGCGUGAGACGUGCCGACGGCGACGACGAGGGAGGAGG